GGGGCUGAUUCUGGAUUCGACGGGAUUUGCGAAACCCAAGGUGCAUGCCGAGGGGCGGUUGGCCUCGUAAAAAGCCGCAAAAAAUAGUCGCAAACGACGAAAACUACGCUUUAGCAGCUUAAUAACCUGCUUAGAGCCCUCUCUCCCUAGCCUCCGCUCUUAGGACGGGGAUCAAGAGAGGUCAAACCCAAAAGAGAUCGCGUGGAAGUCCUGCCUGGGGUUGAAGCGUUAAAACUUAAUCAGGCUAGUUUGUUAGUGGCGUGUCCGUCCGCAGCUGGCAAGCGAAUGUAAAGACUGACUAAGCAUGUAGUACCGAGGAUGUAGGAAUUUCGGACGCGGGUUCAACUCCCGCCAGCUCCACCA
RNAcentral lists this transfer-messenger RNA (363 nucleotides) under Escherichia coli. Its description in RNAcentral is "Standard tmRNA". It matches the Rfam family "transfer-messenger RNA". Rfam says of the family: Bacterial tmRNA, also known as 10Sa RNA or SsrA, is named for its dual tRNA and mRNA-like properties. Its role is to liberate the mRNA from a stalled ribosome. To accomplish this part of the tmRNA is used as a reading frame that ends in a translation stop signal. Lineage: Bacteria; Pseudomonadati; Pseudomonadota; Gammaproteobacteria; Enterobacterales; Enterobacteriaceae. The record is from RNAcentral. RNAcentral also lists the same sequence under 13 other names.